UGCGGGAUGGAGCAGUCCGGUAGCUCGUCGGGCUCAUAACCCGAAGGUCGCAGGUUCAAAUCCUGCUCCCGCUACCA
Molecule: transfer RNA, 77 nt
Filed under: Gammaproteobacteria bacterium
Lineage: Bacteria; Pseudomonadati; Pseudomonadota; Gammaproteobacteria
Description: tRNA-Met
Rfam family: tRNA
About the family: Transfer RNA (tRNA) molecules are approximately 80 nucleotides in length. Their secondary structure includes four short double-helical elements and three loops (D, anti-codon, and T loops). Further hydrogen bonds mediate the characteristic L-shaped molecular structure. tRNAs have two regions of fundamental functional importance: the anti-codon, which is responsible for specific mRNA codon recognition, and the 3' end, to which the tRNAs corresponding amino acid is attached (by aminoacyl-tRNA synthetases). tRNAs cope with the degeneracy of the genetic code in two manners: having more than one tRNA (with a specific anti-codon) for a particular amino acid; and 'wobble' base-pairing, i.e. permitting non-standard base-pairing at the 3rd anti-codon position.
Source: RNAcentral